RNAcentral lists this ribosomal RNA (233 nucleotides) under uncultured bacterium. Its description in RNAcentral is "partial 16S ribosomal RNA". It matches the Rfam family "Bacterial small subunit ribosomal RNA", at positions 118 to 348 of the family's 1533-position model. The record is from RNAcentral.
UGAGGAACAUGACCUUCGGCGGGGGAGUAGCCGGCCCAACGGCCGGGUAAUACCGCGUACGACCACAUGGGGACAUCCCCGAGUGGUGAAAGCAGCAAUGCGCCGAUGGAGUGCCUCGCGGCCUAUCAGCUAGUUGGUGAGGUAACGGCUCACCAAGGCGACGACGGGUAGCUGGUCUGAGAGGAUGGCCAGCCACAUUGGGACUGAGACACGGCCCAGACUCCGUAGGACGG